GUCUAAGCAAUACUUUUUCAAAAAUAUAAAAGUAUACUUCGAUAGUUGUUUUAUGGAAAGGACAAAAACUUCAUUAUUUAGAUAAUAUUUUAAAAUUGAUAUAGUAGUUGGACAGGCUCUUCCAGUUUGUUGCUCUGGAGAUUUUCAAAUGGUCAUAUAUUAUUUUUAAGAUUUAUUUAUAAGGCUGUAUUUAUUUCAAAGUCAAGUAAGAUUAAAA
Molecule: long non-coding RNA, 217 nt
Filed under: Elaeis guineensis (African oil palm)
Lineage: Eukaryota; Viridiplantae; Streptophyta; Magnoliopsida; Arecales; Arecaceae
Description: long non-coding RNA (EGUI_LNC053200)
Source: RNAcentral